Molecule: long non-coding RNA, 2189 nt
Organism: Eriocheir sinensis (Chinese mitten crab)
Lineage: Eukaryota; Metazoa; Arthropoda; Malacostraca; Decapoda; Varunidae
Exons: 4
Source: RefSeq, a predicted model, not a curated record
AGCAAGAUUUUACUGUAUAUUAACCAGACAUGGGGCGAUUACUUAUGUUAUGUAAUCAAUUACGAUUAUGAUUACUUCAUAUUUUCACGAUUGCGAUUACAAUUACAAUAAAAUUAAGUGUAAUCAAUUACGAUUACGAUUAUAUGAUGUAUUAAUCAUGACUACAGGAAGGACUGAAAGGUGAACUUGCAAAUUUCACACAUGUACCAUACUGAAUAUUUAAUUGGUUGAAUUACUAUAGAUAUUUAGAGUACAUACUUGCUGUACGAGAAACUAUUAACUAAACUUUGCUAAUGUAAUCACAAAAGUAAUCACGAUUACAGUUGUACUUUUAUAAUGUAUUCGAUUACGAUUACGAUUAUUUAAAAAAAAUAAGAGGGUAAUCGAUUAAGAUUACUUGAAAAACUGUAAACGAUUGUAAUUGAUUACGAUUACUUGAAAAACUGUAAACGAUUGUAAUUGAUUACGAUUACUUGAAAAACUGUAAACAAUUGUAAUUGAUUACGAUUACUUGAAAAACUGUAAACAAUUGUAAUUGAUUACGAUUACCCCAUGUCUGAUAUGAACAUGAUUCAUAACGCAGCAUGACUAAAGUAAAAAGAAAGGAUAUAUUAAUUAACAUGAUUCAUAACGCAGCAUGACUAAAGUAAAGAAGAAGAGGAUAUAUUAAUUAACAUGAUUCAUAACGCAGCAUGACUAAGGUAAAGAAGAAGAGGAUAUAUUAAUUAACAUGAUUCAUAACGCAGCAUGACUAAGGUAAAGAAGAAGAGGAUAUAUUAAGUAACAUGAUUCAUAACACAGCAUGACUAAGGUAAAGAAGAAGAGGAUAUAUUAAGUAACAUGAUUCAUAACACAGCAUGACUAAGGUAAAGAAGAAGAGGAUAUAUUAAGUAACAUGAUUCAUAACACAGCAUGACUAAGGUAAAGAAGAAGAGGAUAUAUUAAGUAACAUGAUUCAUAACGCAGCAUGACUAAGGUAAAGAGGAAGAGGAUAUAUUAAGUAACAUGAUUCAUAACGCAGCAUGACUAAGGUAAAGAAGAAGAGGAUAUAUUAAUUAACAUGAUUCAUAACACAGCAUGACUAAGGUAAAGAAGAAGAGGAUAUAUUAAUUAACAUGAUUCAUAAUGCAGCAUGACUAAGGUAAAGAGGAAGAAGAACAAGAAGAAGAAGAGGAACAAGACCAGGAGCAUUAUCCAGGGUCUGUGUAAAGCCUUUCUCUAAGCCCGCCCUGCACGCGGAGUUGUUGGUUGUGGCGCCACACGUCUCAGAGCUGGAGGGCUUCCUGGCCCGCCGCUGCCCCUCCAUCUCCGGGGCCAGGCUCUGGAGCUUCUUCUCAGCCUACUGGAGGGAUUUGAGGGGAGGAAAAAGGAAAUCAAUCAAAGUUCUUCCUCACUAAAGAUGUCACUUAAUAUGAACUAAAUACUGGCAGCCUCUUUGCUAUUUUUUGCCUUCAUUAAAUUCCUGGAGGGUCUGAGAGGAGGAAAAAGGAGUAUGAGUAACAGCAAAGGCACAGCUCUGCCUCACCAUAAGAUGUCAUUUACAGCAACUAAAAACACUGCGGCCAGCUUCCUAACUAUUUCUGGCCUUUGUUGAAUAAUUCCUGGAGGGUCUGGGAGGAGGGAGGGGAGAAGGGGCAGAGGGAAAGGAGGAAAGAAGGGAACAGGAGAGAAGGAGGAAAGAAGGGAAGGAGUGGCAAAAUCACAGCUCUUCCUCACCAAUAGAUGUCAUUUAUACCAACUAAAAAAUGCUGGCAGGUUCCUAACUAUUUCUUGCCCCUGACAUAUUUCUGAUGCUGGCAGGUUCCUAACUAUUUCUUGCCCCCGACAUAUUUCUGAUGCUGGCAGGUUCCUAACUAUUUCUUGCCCUGACAUAUUUCUGAUGCUGGCAGGUUCCUAACUAUUUCUUGCCCCUGACAUAUUUCUGAUGCUGGCAGGUUCCUAACUAUUUCUUGCCCCUGACAUAUUUCUGAUGCUGGCAGGUUCCUAACUAUUUCUUGCCCCUGACAUAUUUCUGAUGCUGGCAGGUUCCUAACUAUUUCUUGCCCCUGACAUAUUUCUGAAGUGUUCUGGGGGGAGGAAAAAGGUGACAGGAGCACUGGAGAAAGUGAAGCUCUUCCUUACUAAAAGAUGUUGAUUAAUAAUAACAAAAAAAAAUCAUUGGCAGCUUCUAUGUUAUUUCCUGCCUCUGU